GCCAUCUUAGCUCAGGGGUAGAGCAGCACUUUCGUAAAGUGAAGGUCCCGGGUUCGAAUCCCGGAGAUGGCUCCA
Molecule: transfer RNA, 75 nt
Filed under: Candidatus Berkelbacteria bacterium
Lineage: Bacteria; Candidatus Berkelbacteria
Description: tRNA-Thr
Rfam family: tRNA
About the family: Transfer RNA (tRNA) molecules are approximately 80 nucleotides in length. Their secondary structure includes four short double-helical elements and three loops (D, anti-codon, and T loops). Further hydrogen bonds mediate the characteristic L-shaped molecular structure. tRNAs have two regions of fundamental functional importance: the anti-codon, which is responsible for specific mRNA codon recognition, and the 3' end, to which the tRNAs corresponding amino acid is attached (by aminoacyl-tRNA synthetases). tRNAs cope with the degeneracy of the genetic code in two manners: having more than one tRNA (with a specific anti-codon) for a particular amino acid; and 'wobble' base-pairing, i.e. permitting non-standard base-pairing at the 3rd anti-codon position.
Source: RNAcentral